This 305-nucleotide ribosomal RNA is filed under the name uncultured bacterium. Its description in RNAcentral is "bacterial SSU rRNA". It matches the Rfam family "Bacterial small subunit ribosomal RNA", at positions 333 to 653 of the family's 1533-position model. The record is from RNAcentral.
UGUAGCCUACGGGAGGCAGCAGUGGGGAAUAUUGGGCAAUGGGCGCAAGCCUGACCCAGCAACGCCGCGUGAAGGAAGAAGGCUUUCGGGUUGUAAACUUCUUUUAAGAGGGAAGAGCAGAAGACGGUACCUCUUGAAUAAGCCACGGCUAACUACGUGCCAGCAGCCGCGGUAAUACGUAGGGGGAAAGCGUUGUCCGGAUUUACUGGGUGUAAAGGGCGUGUAGCCGGGCUGACAAGUCAGAUGUGAAAUUCCGGGGCUCAACCCCGGACCUGCAUUUGAAACUGUUGGUCUUGCGCAUGGGG